RNAcentral lists this ribosomal RNA (305 nucleotides) under uncultured bacterium. Its description in RNAcentral is "bacterial SSU rRNA". It matches the Rfam family "Bacterial small subunit ribosomal RNA", at positions 335 to 658 of the family's 1533-position model. The record is from RNAcentral.
UGCCUACGGGGGGCAGCAGUGGGGAAUAUUGCACAAUGGGGGGAACCCUGAUGCAGCGACGCCGCGUGAGUGAAGAAGUAUUCCGGUAUGUAAAGCUCUAUCAGCAGGGAAGAUAAUGACGGUACCUGACUAAGAAGCCCCGGCUAACUACGUGCCAGCAGCCGCGGUAAUACGUAGGGGGCAAGCGUUAUCCGGAUUUACUGGGUGUAAAGGGAGCGUAGACGGAGGAGCAAGUCUGAAGUGAAAUGCCGCAGCUUAACUGCGGAACUGCUUUGGAAACUGGCGGGCUAGAGUGCGGGAGGGGG